GAUACUCUCUGUCAAAAUCUCAUUUUAAAGUCGGAUUUAGAAUUUUGAGAAUGGUUCCUACACUUCCUUUGUUAAUUAUUUUUUGUUAAAUGUAACAAACUGUAUCGUUAACUUUGUUGCUGCCUGGCUUGUUUGGCAAAUGAAUGUCGGAGCCGUUGCAUUCAACAUUUUUAGCAUACCGUCACAUCCUAACGUUAAUUUACUCGACGUGGAGGAGCAGGCAGAGCAAUUGUCAAGAAAAGAAGACGCCAUUAACGUUACGACUUUUUAUUUAAAAGAGAUUAUAUGAGCAGAAGAUCUGACAACACGGAGUUCUUCAAGGAUAACGCACCUUUUCUGCCAAACGAGGUCAUAAUUGCUGCUGUACUUUGCGUACCAAGCCCCCCCUGCAUUUUUAUCACGGAUUGCUGUCACACAAGUUACCAUUUCCUCCCCCGUUGUGGUCGGCCGAGCUACACAUUCUCUUUGUUUUAUUUUAAACAUAAAUAUCCAGAGGAGAAUGGCACCUACGCUGGAAUUCAUUCAAAUUCUUCCUGUUAAGAAAUCCUGACCGAGCGUCAAUGGUUCAGAUGAAUGGAAUCUACGCUUCCAAGACUCAUGUAUGAACUACUUCUAGAUUCCAAGGUUGUUGUUUUUUUUUUUGUUUUUUUCAAAUCUCAAUUUAGGACUUGGACUGAACAUGCAGCAAAAAAAAAAAAAAAAGUUUUCUCAAACGGGCACAUGGCAAAAGAUACUAAAAGCACACAAACACUUGGAGCCCUGAUCUUAAUUUAGAUUGUAUAGUUCUCUUAGUUUAACAUUAAAAUGUCAGGAAUGAGUGCAUAAAUCUUUGUUCUUUAUUUUCAAAUGCUGUACAAGCUUUUUAUUUAAUUUUGUUUAUGUCAAUUGUAGAUGCAGAUAAUUUAGCAUGAAUAAAAGGUAAGUUAAUCUAACUAGGUUUAGUUCACCCGUAAUAUUAUAUGAAAAGUCUCAUUCCAAUCCUAUUAGACUUUUGUUCAUUUUUGGAACACUAAUGAAGAUCCAUUUUAAUGAAAUCUGACAGCUAUACUGUAUUAGACCUUGAAAUGGUAGUUGCAUAGGCUGUCAAUGGAGGGACAGAAAGCAGAGAUUUCAUAAAAUAUACUCUUCAUUUGUGUUUCAAAGAUGAAUGGAAAUCGUAUGGAUUUGGAACGGUAUGAGGGAAAGUAACUGAUGUCAGAAUUCACAUGUUGUGCUAUUAAAUAAUGUGUUCUAUAGGAAAAUUAUGUAAUUUCACUUGACUAUUGACUAUUAGUCUGUAGCAAUUGUUAAU
Carassius gibelio (silver crucian carp) is the source of this 1291-nucleotide long non-coding RNA. RefSeq lists it as uncharacterized. The record is from RefSeq and is a predicted model, not a curated record. Lineage: Eukaryota; Metazoa; Chordata; Actinopteri; Cypriniformes; Cyprinidae. The transcript is spliced from 5 exons.